UGUGUUGAAGAUUUUGCUAACUCUCAGUAGCAAGUUACUCUGUAAAAUCUAUUACUCUGUAAACCUCUGCAUCCUGCACUUGGAAGUAUGCAUUUUAUUUAAGAAUGUGAGUUAUAUUUUCAUCAGUGCAAGAAGGUGAUUGAAUUGAAGUUGAAUAUCCUGGUCUCUAUUUAUGAAUUAGUCUACUCUAAAAACCACCUUAGCCAUAUUUUGAAAGGACGCUAGAAAUAUUUCAAAACUAAAUAAAAGAAUUGAAAGUUAUCCUUUAGAGGCCUGAUCCUGCAAACCCUCUGCACAAUCAAUUGAUUUUGGUGGGAGUAUUGAAACAGAUGAGACACCAGAAGGUACUUUCCACCAUUAGAUCUUGAAAAGCUAAAGCGAGGUUUAUUUAGUAGUUGCAUACUUGAGUGAAUGUCCUGGGAGUAAGUGUGGAAGUAGAAUGUUCUCAUUUUAAAUGAUGUGCAUAUACUUUUCUUACACUUCUGCUCAUGGCUAUCCAUUCUUGCUAAAAGCAUACAAUCCCAUCAGAUCCUUCCUUGGAAGACUGAUUCUGCUAAGUCUAUUCAUACUGCCUCUGCUUUGUGGGUGCUUUCAUAAACAGAAGUUGGAAGUAUAUAGUUCUAUUUGCCAUGGUCCUAACAAACAAAGAAUCUGCAGACACUACUGGCUUCUCCUCUUUUACUGACAGCAGAGGACAUAUUCUACAGUGUAAUAUAUUCUAUUCUGGGUUUAUGUGCAAAAAAUUGAUUUAUAUGGAAGGUGAGCAGCCACAGGCUGGCAGGUUCCAGAAUGCCUUCGUCUGCUUAUUCCUAGUUGCUUGGUUUACUCUCUCUGCUUCACUGCUCUGUCUUUGGCAGCCACUGAAAAACCAGAGAUCAGGAAAGAUAAGCUUUCUAGGCUCUGCAGUUCAUUCAAAAUGCUGUUAUUCUAGACACCUAGAUAAUGUGGUCUGCAUAUAUCUAUGUGCCAUAUCCUUCUGUAAUAGUAAGAAUAUCCUUAUUAACCUCCAGAUAUUCUUUUGAAAAUUGAAAAAAAUCAACAGUUCUGUGCACUGUGCACUGAGAAAUGCAAGAACCACCUUUUAGCAUUUUGGAACAUUUUCUUCUGAGAUAAUUUCUUUUUCAAGACUUACAUUUAUUCAAUUACUUCUUUAUGUUAUUUAGGACUUCUUUUUAGCCUUUCAAGGAAGGGAAGGAAACAGAGAAAGACAAAACUGAAUUACUAGUGGAAUGAAUGAAUUUGGAUAUGUAUGUAAAACCACAAAUCAAGUGUCUUCACAUUAGACUCCUUCCUGUUUGAAGUUACAGAAAAGAUUGUGAGGCUUUAUUUAGCUAACCAACUUUUCCCAGGAAGAUCUAAAGUAAAACCUCUUAUUCUCUCUCUUCAAUUAAAAGUUGAUGGAUGACGUUUUCUGGCAUCGAGGGCAACAUUUUCAAGAUAGUUAAGAAUUUAUAAAAAUAUUGGUCUGCUUAAUUCAGUCUUUUCAGUUCUCCUGGCCUGAUGCCUAGCAUAUUGACAACUUCUUCUUUUACAGUGAUUCUUCCAAGAAUAAGCAUAUGAAAACUUGCAGCUGGUUUAUGCUGUGUCCAUUUCCAGCAGUAAUGUGGAACUGAAGUACACCACACACCACACAAUUUUAAUGUAACUUUCUAAUCAAGAAGUACGGUUAUAGAUUACAACACCUUGGGCACUUUGAUAACCUUUCUUCUCUUUCAGAUGCUAAUUUUCUCCUCCACCGAUUCUCACCUGUAUAUUGGUGUAUUGCAUGUGCCAAUAAAAAUGCUAAAAAUUACAGCAGGAAGAAUCAAAAAAGCCAGAACUGUCUUCACAGAGACAGCAAUGAGUAGUGAAGCUAAAAGAGGAGGAAGAAAUUAUUUCUUAUUGCUGUGCAAUUCUUAUCUGUCCCACUCCUCUUAUUCAAUUCUUCCUACCCACUACCCACAGCUAAUUCCAAAUCAUCCAAGUGGUGGUUUGCACAUUUAUCAGCUGGAACAGCAAUGACACAUGAACCUUUAGCUGAUAGGAAAUGAUAUUUCUGGAACUGGAAGCAUCAUGCCAAAUAGCUCAGAUAGAUAGAUAGAUAGCUAUGAUCUCGAACACUUUUGCAGCCCUAAUGUGUCUUGGAGUCUAUCACAGCUCACCUUACUUGAUCAUUUCAUGAAGGGAAGAAUGCUUGCCUCCUUUUUACACCAAAUUUCACCAUACACCUAGGAAAGUGGCUCUGCCCUGCCCAUGCUCCAAGCGACCAGGAGCAGCUCUGGAAAGACCUAGUUGCUGUACUGCUUUGUGGGCAGGAAGACUCCAUAUUUUAAGACAGAUUUCAUUAGCCUUACAAUCUGGAGGGUUGGUGUUACCUUCUAAGCUGUAAAACAAAGCGCCCACUACAGCUUAUAAAGGCUGUCCAUAACAGACUGUACUUUCCCCAUUGGCUGCUCUUACUGGGUUUCCAUAAAGCACUAAGAAAAGGCAAGCCAUACCCCAUAAUCUUAGCUGCCUACCCAAUUAGAUUACUUUUUUCAAGGGAUAUUAUUCUCGCUUACAGUGAAAUCUUUGUGCCUCUUACGUUAGUGCCUUUAGCAUUUCUUGAUAUCGAAGGAUAUAUUAUUCCCAGCCUGAGAGUUAGAAAGAGGGACAGUGACCUUGCUGGAGUUCUUCCUGAGCACUACAGUGAGUGACCAAUAUUCUAGAUGUCUUCAACUUAAACAUUGAGCAUUUACAUUGAGCAUUUGUCCAAUUUUUUUCUUUUUUUUUUUUUUAAGCAGUCUGUAGGUUUCUUAAUUCCUAAGUAGCAAAGAAACUGCAAUGGGAUUUCAGCAGUUUAGCAAAUUCUUCCUUCUUCACUUAGCAACUUCAUUCCACCAAGAGAUGCAGUGCAUAUACUUAAGGCUAAUGUUUACUUCAUCCAGGUCACUUCACAGAAGACUCUUUAAAACAGGCAAAAAACCAAACUAUGCAUUGGGAAUGCAUUUCCACAGCUGAAAGGUGAAGUUCUUUUUCCCUUACAGCCUUUUUUUUUUCCUGAGUUAAUUUUAGAAUCUUCCUCCCUCUCUCCCUUCACCUAUAAAAUUAGCAAGAAUGAAAUCACUCACGUACUGAAAACUUACAUUAAAACUUACACUUAAAUACUGAAAAAAGUAUAGUAUAAUCUUAUACUAUAUUUAUAUGCCUAAAAGCUUCUUAUGAUUCACCACAUUGUCUUCUUGAAGGGUUCCAGUAUGCGUGUGAAAAUCAAAGCCUUCCUUCAAGACUCAGUUGCCUUAAUAGUUUUAUCUUUUCCCCUGGGAUCCAUGGUCUGUCUGGAAAACAAACAGAGAAUCUACUUUCUUUAUUGUUUAGACCACUGUUUUAGAUGCUAAAAAAACCCCUAUAUUUUAUAACUAAAAGGAAAUGGUGUUUUAAUAGGAAAAAAAAUCAUCUCCAUUUGAAUUGCAUUGCUCUGACAAUAAUUUUUUUAUACGCCAUACCUGUGGUGUAUAACUUAAAGUGAUAUACUAUCCUAUAAACCUGUCUAGGACUAAGUCCUGAAUUAGGGAUAAAUAUUGCUCUAAUAAUCUAAUUUACCUAGCAGCUGUUUCUUUAAAUAACUUUGGAUUGUGACUGACUUCAGGCAGUUAGCUAGUGACCACUGAUAUUCCUCAAGGGAGAUACUGAAGAUCUGUGAUGAUGUAUUCCUACAAGUUUUACUUUCGUUUCUUUUUUCUCUUUUGUUGUGGGUCCUCAAGACAAUGUCUGUAUGCAUCUGGACUACUCAAGGGUUUUCCUAGAAUACAUGUGAAAUUAAAAAAUAAAAUUCAUCAUGAAGUUCA
Molecule: long non-coding RNA, 3806 nt
Filed under: Strigops habroptila (Kakapo)
Lineage: Eukaryota; Metazoa; Chordata; Aves; Psittaciformes; Psittacidae
Description: lncRNA (ENSSHBG00005013892.1)
Source: RNAcentral